This 555-nucleotide ribosomal RNA is filed under the name Colletotrichum sp. 2 ONH-2014. Its description in RNAcentral is "eukaryotic LSU rRNA". The stretch from base 194 to 347 matches the Rfam family "5.8S ribosomal RNA". Lineage: Eukaryota; Fungi; Ascomycota; Sordariomycetes; Glomerellales; Glomerellaceae. The record is from RNAcentral.
UAACCUGCGGAGGGAUCAUUACUGAGUUUACGCUCUACAACCCUUUGUGAACAUACCUAUAACUGUUGCUUCGGCGGGUAGGGUCUCCGCGACCCUCCCGGCCUCCCGCCCCCGGGCGGGUCGGCGCCCGCCGGAGGAUAACCAAACUCUGAUUUAACGACGUUUCUUCUGAGUGGUACAAGCAAAUAAUCAAAACUUUUAACAACGGAUCUCUUGGUUCUGGCAUCGAUGAAGAACGCAGCGAAAUGCGAUAAGUAAUGUGAAUUGCAGAAUUCAGUGAAUCAUCGAAUCUUUGAACGCACAUUGCGCCCGCCAGCAUUCUGGCGGGCAUGCCUGUUCGAGCGUCAUUUCAACCCUCAAGCUCUGCUUGGUGUUGGGGCCCUACAGCUGAUGUAGGCCCUCAAAGGUAGUGGCGGACCCUCCCGGAGCCUCCUUUGCGUAGUAACUUUACGUCUCGCACUGGGAUCCGGAGGGACUCUUGCCGUAAAACCCCCAAUUUUCCAAAGGUUGACCUCGGAUCAGGUAGGAAUACCCGCUGAACUUAAGCAUAUCAAU